RNAcentral lists this microRNA precursor (101 nucleotides) under Lotus japonicus. Its description in RNAcentral is "miR7521 stem-loop (lja-MIR7521)". Lineage: Eukaryota; Viridiplantae; Streptophyta; Magnoliopsida; Fabales; Fabaceae. The record is from miRBase by way of RNAcentral.
AGUGGGGUGGGAAGCUUCAUGGGUGGGGUGUUAAACCCAAAUCCCUAAUCUAAGGUAUGUUUAAAUUGAAGGUUUGUCACUUUGUCCAUGUAGCCCUUAUU